CCCGGCUGCGGGCGCGUGUGUGCCGAGGCACCGGCGAGCUCUUCAGAUGCUCCCGAUGGGCAGGGGGAAGCGCUGGCGGUCUGCACUCCCGCCUUUGGACGCCUAUGGGUGAGGGGCACAGCCAGCUCAUCACUCCUCUUACAGCCUGGGGCCGAGGCCUCACAUAGCAACCUCAUGCCUGAAAUGUUUUAGACAUGGGUAAUCGCACCUAAAUGUGAAGCAAUGCUCAGGAUUUCUUAGGAAUAAAUAAUGCCUUCUACUGGAAGGGAUGAAAACAACAUGUGCCAGGAGCUGAUGUUAAACAGCAGUUUAUGAUUUCCUGAGUGGGUGAUUUCUGACUUGGUACGGGAUGACUGCAGUUGUCACUUCUAAGUAUUGUCUUGGAAGUAGAAUUGGGACAAGUGAUGGCUAAAAUUGUCUUUGAUGAUCAUGUUGAAACAGGCAUCUCACUGUUUGUUGAAAAAGGUUUCCUAACAAAAACUGCUGUAAUUUGAUUGUGUUUGUGGAUUGGUUGAAAUAAACUGAGUAUUAAUUGAAAUAAAAUAUAAGUAUGC
Pseudopodoces humilis (Tibetan ground-tit) is the source of this 554-nucleotide long non-coding RNA. RefSeq lists it as uncharacterized. NCBI's taxonomy places the organism in Eukaryota, Metazoa, Chordata, Aves, Passeriformes, Paridae. The record is from RefSeq and is a predicted model, not a curated record.